This 78-nucleotide transfer RNA is filed under the name Candidatus Bathyarchaeota archaeon. RNAcentral describes it as "tRNA-Arg". It matches the Rfam family "tRNA". From Rfam's summary of the family: Transfer RNA (tRNA) molecules are approximately 80 nucleotides in length. Their secondary structure includes four short double-helical elements and three loops (D, anti-codon, and T loops). Lineage: Archaea; Thermoproteati; Candidatus Bathyarchaeota. The record is from RNAcentral.
GGGCCCGUAGCUCAGCCUGGAUAGAGCGGCAGCCCCCUAGGCUAGAGGUCCGGGGUUCAAAUCCCCGCGGGCCCGCCA